This 748-nucleotide unclassified non-coding RNA is filed under the name Hevea brasiliensis (rubber tree). The record is from RNAcentral. Lineage: Eukaryota; Viridiplantae; Streptophyta; Magnoliopsida; Malpighiales; Euphorbiaceae.
UUUUGUUUAGGUAUUAUUUUACAAUGGAAAUCUGAAUUUUUAGUCGCUAUUCAAUUCAUCUUCCAUUAUAUGUCUAGAAAGGAGCUAAAAUGAUAGAGUUGUCACAUUUUUUGUUAUCGUAGCGAUAUGAGUCGAGUUUGUCGGAGUUACGUUUCUUUAAAAGCAUGUUCGUUGAUCCGUGUGUGUUCAUGCUUUCAUUUGUCAUUGUUUUGGUCUCUAAGUUACGACUAAGAAUGUAUUUAUUUCCAUUUUUUUUCUAAAUUGCGAUUUGGGUUAGCGUUAUUUAAAUAACUUUUAAAAUUCCGUUCAUCCCUUCCUUUCUCCUUACUGGAAGUUGUGAAGAUUUGGAAAUUUGCACCCUUUUUUACAUGUUUACAGAUUUAAGACUUUGUCCUUAGGCAGAUUCGUUAUAUUCAUAUUGUAUCCGCAUAUUUUCGUGUUUAUUAAAAGUACUAUAUGUUUGUUUCCAUUUCGCUUUAUGUGAUAGCUAUUGAUCGGUCCUUCCAUUUCCUCAAACUGGUCCUUUAUUUGCUAGUAUGUAAUUUCCUAUAGCUAUUAACUUUUAAGUUUUGAAACUUGUCCAAACAAAGUGAUCCUAUAAAUGUGUGACACUACCAUGAUGCAGAACAUCUUUUUUUACUUUUAGCCUUAUUUAAUUUAUUUAUUCCUUUCCUUCUUCUUAUCUUUCCCUUUCUUCAUCUAACAUUAUUCUUUAUGUCAUAAAAUAUUGCUAAUCAUUUGCCUUGGA